UACUGCUGCAUCUUUCUGUGCAUUGCCUAGUGACUAAGAAGCAAUAUCAAAUAUACUUCUUCAGGAACAUCUGAAGUUCAUGGAAUUCUCAAAAGAAGCAAAAGCUGGAGCACACACGGCAAGCAAAAGUAUCUCACCCCUCUCUCCUUCUCUUUGGACAAAGUAUGGGUCCAACUCCACCAUCUUCCUUGACAAGAGAGGGCAAGUACCUCUAGGUGAGCUGCGAUCGAGACAAGCAAGCAAGUGGGAAUGCGUCUAUUAAUCAGCUAUCAAGUCUUUCCUGAGAUGUUUUUUUAUAAUAAUGCAAAAGCAUUUUGCUAAAUUCAAGUUGAGCUACGUGUCCUCAAGUCACACAAUCCAAUCAGAGAACAAAAUCUACUCAGCAAGUCAUUCUUAUGCAGGGGGACGGCAUGAAGGCCACAGCCUUCCACUCCUGUGUCCCUGAGAAGGAAUUGUGCCUGAGAAGAAGAUGGACUUGGGCAGCAGAUGAGGUUGGGUCAGAGCACCAACUCUUCUGGGAAGGGACAUUUUGUGAGGAAGUCCUCAGCCUUUUGAGACCCUGGGUUACGGAUGAUAGAGGAGAUCAAGGAAGACCUCGAAAGCUGUGUUACGAUCAAGUCCUGGAAUAAGAUGUCAUUCAUGUCCACAUCACCCACAGGUGAGUUCCCCUCAGAGGCACGCAGCUUGACUGUCAGAGGAUUUGAAGGCAGCUCAAGCAAGUAUUCCUUUCUGAGGAGUUGGUCCCUCUAUCCUGGUUUUAGGAGUGCUAAUUAUAG
This 776-nucleotide long non-coding RNA is filed under the name Mus spicilegus (steppe mouse). RNAcentral describes it as "lncRNA (ENSMSIG00000006199.1)". The record is from RNAcentral. Lineage: Eukaryota; Metazoa; Chordata; Mammalia; Rodentia; Muridae.